CCCUUAGAUGUUCUGGGCCGCACGCGUGCUACACUGAGUGGAUCAGCGGGUCAGGUUGCGCGAAAGUGUUUCCUAAUCUUUAAAUCCGCUCGUGAUGGGGAUUGACGGUUGCAAUUUUCCGUCAUGAACGAGGAAUACCUUGUAAGCGCGGGUCAUCAUCCCGCGCUGAAUACGUCCCUGCCCUUUGUACACACCGCCCGUCGCUCCUACCGAUUGAGUGGUCCGGUGAGGCUUUGGGAUCUGAGCGGAAAGAGCGUUUCGCUGUUUCUGCUCGGAAAACUCAGUCGAACCUUAUCGUUUAGAGGAAGGAGAAGUCGUAACA
Molecule: ribosomal RNA, 322 nt
Filed under: uncultured eukaryote
Lineage: Eukaryota
Description: partial 18S ribosomal RNA
Rfam family: Eukaryotic small subunit ribosomal RNA
Source: RNAcentral